UCCCUGUAAGUGCAGGUUUGGAACUAGGUGUAGGACAUUAGGCCUAAAGUUUGGAAACUGUGCUCCUUUCAUUUUGUUCCAAUCCCAGCUUUGCUGGGUGAGUCAGAGAAAGGCUGGCAAGCAGCCGUGUGAGAGACUACCUCACAGGAGAUAAGGGAACACCGAAUACCUCUAGCACCUUGGUUUCAUCAUUACUUAGAAUGAAAUUGCAGUGCAGGAGCCUACCCCAGCUUUUCCAUGGGCUGACUUCUUGCAGGACUCUGCUGUUAAUUAGGUUUGCAGGGCAGGAUAGAAGAGAGAAUUUAUUGAAGGCUCCAGAUAUGGAGAUUGAGGAAUUUGAAUUUGGUCUGCAGGAAAAAGGGAAGAAAAAUAUGAGUGAGAAAUUAUUGUGCUAGAAAGAUUGCUAUGCAGAGCCACAUAAGACUGCCAGUGGAAGAUAAAAAGACAAAACACAAAGUAAAACUGGCAUGUAAGCAACUCAGAAGAGGAAGGGAGAAUUAUUUUGCUUCAUUUAAGAAGAGUUUUUGGGGCAAGGAUCAUGCUUUUUUACCCUUUCCUACCUAGAUUCUUCAGUGUUUGGACAAAUGAUGUGUAUUCAACAAUGAAAUUGUGCUACUAUCUUGGAGCUGCUUGGACAAGCUAGCCACACAUCCUCUGAACCAAAAAAGAAGAAGGCAGACAAAUGGCAAAGACUCCACUGUGACAGUAAGGUUGUCUGCAGAAGGAGAAAAUACUUUAAUGGGGAAGGCAGAGAGCAGUUUAAACUGAUGCUCAUUGAAGCCAUCUUCCUAUGCAAACCUCUGCUUCCUUUCUCAAAUCCAGAAUCAGACAGAGAAGACAUCCUCUACCUUGAGACAUGAGGAAUCAAAUAGUGACUCUCAUUCCUUGUUGCCAGGUGGGCUGGGGGAAAACAGAAGUGUGAGAAACUGACGAUUGUAAGAAAGAGGAAAUGCCAUUUAUUCAUUUAUUAAAAAAUCGAACAAUGA
Molecule: long non-coding RNA, 986 nt
Organism: Corvus hawaiiensis (hawaiian crow)
Lineage: Eukaryota; Metazoa; Chordata; Aves; Passeriformes; Corvidae
Exons: 2
Source: RefSeq, a predicted model, not a curated record